Molecule: ribosomal RNA, 1450 nt
Filed under: uncultured anaerobic ammonium-oxidizing bacterium
Lineage: Bacteria
Description: 16S ribosomal RNA
Rfam family: Bacterial small subunit ribosomal RNA
Source: RNAcentral
GAACGAGGAUAUAUCCUUCGGGAUAUAAGCCGAGUGGCGCAAGGGUGAGUAAUGCAUAGAUUACCUGCCUCUAGGAUAAGGACAACUUUGUGAAAACGAAGCUAAUACUUAAUAAUACAAAAGAAAAUAAUUUUCCUUUGUCAAAGGGAGGGUAGCAAUACCUUUUGCCUAGAGAGGGGUUUAUGUCCUAUCAGCUUGUUGGUGGGGUAAUGGCCUACCAAGGCGAAGACGGGUAGCCGGUCUUAGAGGAUGGUCGGCCACACUGGGACUGAGACACUGCCCAGACUUCUACGGAAGGCUGCAGUCGAGAAUCUUUCGCAAUGCCCGAAAGGGUGACGAAGCGACGCCGCGUGAGUGAGGAAGGCCUUAGGGUUGUAAAGCUCUGUCAGGAGUUAAGAAAUAUAAGUGUGUUAAUACCACAUUUAUUUGACGAAGGCUCCAAAGGAAGCCACGGCUAACUCUGUGCCAGCAGCCGCGGUAAUACAGAGGUGGCAAGCGUUGUUCGGAAUUAUUGGGCGUAAAGAGCACGUAGGUGGGUUUGUAAGUCAGAUGUGAAAGCCUUCUGUUCAACGGAAGAAUUGCAUCUGAAACUAUAAGUCUUGAGUGUAGGAGGGGAGAAUGGAACUUCUGGUGGAGCGGUGAAAUGCGUAGAUAUCAGAAGGAACGCCGGCGGCGAAAGCGAUUCUCUGGCCUAUUACUGACGCUCAGUGUGCGAAAGCUAGGGGAGCAAACGGGAUUAGAUACCCCGGUAGUCCUAGCUGUAAACGAUGGGCACUAAGUAGAGGGGAUUACCGAUGUUCUCUCUGCCGUAGCUAACGCAUUAAGUGCCCCGCCUGGGGAGUACGGCCGCAAGGCUAAAACUCAAAAGAAUUGACGGGGGCUCGCACAAGCGGUGGAGCAUGUGGCUUAAUUCGAUGCAACGCGAAAAACCUUACCGGGGCUUGACAUGGUAGAAGUAGGAACCCGAAAGGGUAACGAACGGUAUCCAGUCCGUAGCUAUCACAGGUGUUGCAUGGCUGUCGUCAGCUCGUGUCGUGAGACGUUGGGUUAAGUCCCCUAACGAGCGAAACCCUUGUUUUUAGUUACCAGCGGGUUAUGCCGGGUACUCUAGAAAGACUGCCGUCGUCAAGACGGAGGAAGGUGGGGAUGACGUCAAGUCAUCAUGGCCCUUAUGCCCCGGGCUGCACACGUGCUACAAUGGUCGGUACAAACGGAAGCGAAGCCGAGAGGUGAAGCGAAUCCUAAAAAGCCGAUCUCAGUUCGGAUUGGAGGCUGAAAUUCGCCUCCAUGAAGUUGGAAUCGCUAGUAAUCGCGGAUCAGCAAUGCCGCGGUGAAUAUGUUCCCGAGCCUUGUACACACCGCCCGUCAAGCCACCCAAGCAGGAUGCACCCGAAAACAUUAUAUCUAACCAGGGCAACUUGGAGGAAAGUGUUGAAGGAGUGUUUUGUGA